This 468-nucleotide ribosomal RNA is filed under the name uncultured bacterium. RNAcentral's name for it is "partial 16S ribosomal RNA". It matches the Rfam family "Bacterial small subunit ribosomal RNA", at positions 28 to 507 of the family's 1533-position model. The record is from RNAcentral.
GACGAACGCUGGCGGCGUGCUUAACACAUGCAAGUCGAACGGAAAGGCCCUGCUUUUGUGGGGUGCUCGAGUGGCGAACGGGUGAGUAACACGUGAGUAACCUGCCCUUGACUUUGGGAUAACUUCAGGAAACUGGGGCUAAUACCGGAUAGGAGCUCCUGCUGCAUGGUGGGGGUUGGAAAGUUUCGGCGGUUGGGGAUGGACUCGCGGCUUAUCAGCUUGUUGGUGGGGUAGUGGCUUACCAAGGCUUUGACGGGUAGCCGGCCUGAGAGGGUGACCGGCCACAUUGGGACUGAGAUACGGCCCAGACUCCGACGGGAGGCAGCAGUGGGGAAUAUUGCACAAUGGGCGGAAGCCUGAUGCAGCAACGCCGCGUGCGGGAUGACGGCCUUCGGGUUGUAAACCGCUUUCGCCUGGGACGAAGCGUGAGUGACGGUAAUGGGUAAAGAAGCACCGGCUAACUACGUG